AUGGUACUUAAUAUCACUGUUAUUCCUCUAAACCAUCUAGGUGGACUGAAGGUCAAGGCUGAUUCUGAUGAGUCUUCACCCUAUGCUGCUAUGCUUGCAUCUUAGGAUGUUGCCACUCGUUGCAAGGAGCUUGGUAUCACCGCACUGCACAUUAAGCUCCGUGCCACUGGAGUCAACAAGACCAAGGCACCAGGUCCUGGAGCUCAGUCUGCCCUCAGGGCUCUUGCUCAUUCUAGGAUGAAAAUUGGGCGCAUUGGUACGCCAUGCUUCUUCUCAUAUAGUGUUUGUGGAAGCACAUAUGUCCAUGUUAUUGUCUCUGCAUAUGGCUAA
Molecule: ribosomal RNA, 330 nt
Filed under: Triticum aestivum (bread wheat)
Lineage: Eukaryota; Viridiplantae; Streptophyta; Magnoliopsida; Poales; Poaceae
Description: partial small subunit ribosomal RNA
Source: RNAcentral